RNAcentral lists this ribosomal RNA (458 nucleotides) under uncultured Bacteroidota bacterium. RNAcentral describes it as "bacterial SSU rRNA". It matches the Rfam family "Bacterial small subunit ribosomal RNA", at positions 43 to 497 of the family's 1533-position model. Lineage: Bacteria; Pseudomonadati; Bacteroidota. The record is from RNAcentral.
CAGGCCUAAUACAUGCAAGUCGAGGGGUAAGAUCCGCCUUUGGCGGAAACACGACCGGCGCACGGGUGCGUAACGCGUAUGCAACCUACCUCUAACAGGGGGAUAGCCCCGAGAAAUCGGGAUUAAUACCCCAUAACAAUCGUAAUUCGCAUGGGUUACGGUUUAAAGCUCCGGCGGUUAGAGAUGGGCAUGCGUGACAUUAGCUAGUUGGUGAGGUAACGGCUCACCAAGGCGACGAUGUCUAGGGGUUCUGAGAGGAUGAUCCCCCACACUGGUACUGAGACACGGACCAGACUCCUACGGGAGGCAGCAGUAAGGAAUAUUGCGCAAUGGAGGCAACUCUGACGCAGCCAUGCCGCGUGCAGGAAGACGGCCUUAUGGGUUGUAAACUGCUUUUAUAAAGGAAUAAACCCCCGAACGUGUUCGGGGUUGAAGGUACUUUAUGAAUAAGCACCGGC